AAACUUGCUCAGCUUUAUGGUGCAUUUAAAUAGCUAAUAGGGAAACCGGUUUAAUUCCGGUACGGACCCGCCGCUGUAUUCGGGGACGAAAUCUGCAAAAACCACUGUCCGGCACACAGACGUCUGGGUGCCGGGUGGGAAGGUGCAGAGAGUAGAACGAUCCGUAAGUCAGAAGACCUGCCAUAGAGUUUAGUAUUGG
This 199-nucleotide non-coding RNA is filed under the name Desulfobacteraceae bacterium. Lineage: Bacteria; Pseudomonadati; Thermodesulfobacteriota; Desulfobacteria; Desulfobacterales; Desulfobacteraceae. The record is from RNAcentral.